GACGAACGCUGGCGGCGUGCUUAACACAUGCAAGUCGAACAGAAAGGCCCUGCUUUUGUGGGGUGCUCGAGUGGCGAACGGGUGAGUAACACGUGAGUAACCUGCCCUUGACUUUGGGAUAACUUCAGGAAACUGGGGCUAAUACCGGAUAGGAGCUCCUGCUGCAUGGUGGGGGUUGGAAAGUUUCGGCGGUUGGGGAUGGACUUGCGGCUUAUCAGCUUGUUGGUGGGGUAGUGGCUUACCAAGGCUUUGACGGGUAGCCGGCCUGAGAGGGUGACCGGCCACAUUGGGACUGAGAUACGGCCCAGACUCCUACGGGAGGCAGCAGUGGGGAAUAUUGCACAAUGGGCGGAAGCCUGAUGCAGCAACGCCGCGUGCGGGAUGACGGCCUUCGGGUUGUAAACCGCUUUCGCCUGUGACGAAGCGUGAGUGACGGUAAUGGGUAAAGAAGCACCGGCUAACUACGUGCCAGCAGCCGCGGUGAUACGUAGGGUGCGAGCGUUGUCCGGAUUUAUUGGGCGUAAAGGGCUCGUAGGUGGUUGAUCGCGUCGGAAGUGUAAUCUUGGGGCUUAACCCUGAGCGUGCUUUCGAUACGGGUUGACUUGAGGAAGGUAGGGGAGAAUGGAAUUCCUGGUGGAGCGGUGGAAUGCGCAGAUAUCAGGAGGAACACCAGUGGCGAAGGCGGUUCUCUGGGCCUUUCCUGACGCUGAGGAGCGAAAGCGUGGGGAGCGAACAGGCUUAGAUACCCUGGUAGUCCACGCUGUAAACGGUGGGUACUAGGUGUGGGGUCCAUUCCACGGGUUCCGUGCCGUAGCUAACGCUUUAAGUACCCCGCCUGGGGAGUACGGCCGCAAGGCUAAAACUCAAAGGAAUUGACGGGGCCCCGCACAAGCGGCGGAGCAUGCGGAUUAAUUCGAUGCAACGCGUAGAACCUUACCUGGGUUUGACAUGGAUCGGGAGUGCUCAGAGAUGGGUGUGCCUCUUUUGGGGUCGGUUCACAGGUGGUGCAUGGCUGUCGUCAGCUCGUGUCGUGAGAUGUUGGGUUAAGUCCCGCAACGAGCGCAACCCUUGUUCACUGUUGCCAGCACGUUAUGGUGGGGACUCAGUGGAGACCGCCGGGGUCAACUCGGAGGAAGGUGGGGAUGACGUCAAGUCAUCAUGCCCCUUAUGUCCAGGGCUUCACGCAUGCUACAAUGGCUGGUACAGAGAGUGGCGAGCCUGUGAGGGUGAGCGAAUCUCGGAAAGCCGGUCUCAGUUCGGAUUGGGGUCUGCAACUCGACCUCAUGAAGUCGGAGUCGCUAGUAAUCGCAGAUCAGCAACGCUGCGGUGAAUACGUUCCCGGG
Molecule: ribosomal RNA, 1343 nt
Filed under: uncultured bacterium
Lineage: Bacteria
Description: 16S ribosomal RNA
Rfam family: Bacterial small subunit ribosomal RNA
Source: RNAcentral